This 506-nucleotide ribosomal RNA is filed under the name uncultured bacterium. RNAcentral describes it as "partial 16S ribosomal RNA". It matches the Rfam family "Bacterial small subunit ribosomal RNA", at positions 29 to 523 of the family's 1533-position model. The record is from RNAcentral.
AGUGAACGCUGGCGGUAGGCCUAACACAUGCAAGUCGAACGGCAGCACAGAGGAGCUUGCUCCUUGGGUGGCGAGUGGCGGACGGGUGAGGAAUACAUCGGAAUCUACUCUGUCGUGGGGGAUAACGUAGGGAAACUUACGCUAAUACCGCAUACGACCUACGGGUGAAAGCAGGGGACCUUCGGGCCUUGCGCGAUUGAAUGAGCCGAUGUCGGAUUAGCUAGUUGGCGGGGUAAAGGCCCACCAAGGCGACGAUCCGUAGCUGGUCUGGGAGGAUGAUCAGCCAGACUGGAACUGAGACACGGUCCAGGCUGCUACGGGAGGCAGCAGUGGGGAAUAUUGGACAAUGGGCGCAAGCCUGAUCCAGCCAUACCGCGUGGGUGAAGAAGGCCUUCGGGUUGUAAAGCCCUUUUGUUGGGAAAGAAAUCCAGCUGGCUAAUACCCGGUUGGGAUGACGGUACCCAAAGAAUAAGCACCGGCUAACUUCGUGCCAGCAGCCGCAGUAA